RNAcentral lists this small RNA (109 nucleotides) under Marmota monax (woodchuck). Lineage: Eukaryota; Metazoa; Chordata; Mammalia; Rodentia; Sciuridae. The record is from RNAcentral.
GCUGGGCGUGAUGGCUCAGGCCUGUAAUCCCAGGAACUCUGGAGGCUGAAGCCGGAGGAUCACAAGUCUGAGGCUAGCCUCACCAACUUAGUGUGAGACUCUGUCUCAA